CUGGAGGAAUACCGGUGGCGAAGGCGGCCCCCUGGACGAAGACUGACGCUCAGGUGCGAAAGCGUGGGGAGCAAACAGGAUUAGAUACCCUGGUAGUCCACGCCGUAAACGAUGUCGACUUGGAGGUUGUGCCCUUGAGGCGUGGCUUCCGGAGCUAACGCGUUAAGUCGACCGCCUGGGGAGUACGGCCGCAAGGUUAAAACUCAAAUGAAUUGACGGGGGCCCGCACAAGCGGUGGAGCAUGUGGUUUAAUUCGAUGCAACGCGAAGAACCUUACCUGGUCUUGACAUCCACGGAAGUUUUCAGAGAUGGAAUGGUGCCUUCGGGAACCGUGAGACAGGUGCUGCAUGGCUGUCGUCAGCUCGUGUUGUGAAAUGUUGGGUUAAGUCCCGCAACGAGCGCAACCCUUAUCCUUUGUUGCCAGCGGUCCGGCCGGGAACUCAAAGGAGACUGCCAGUGAUAAACUGGAGGAAGGUGGGGAUGACGUCAAGUCAUCAUGGCCCUUACGACCAGGGCUACACACGUGCUACAAUGGCGCAUACAAAGAGAAGCGACCUCGCGAGAGCAAGCGGACCUCAUAAAGUGCGUCGUAGUCCGGAUUGGAGUCUGCAACUCGACUCCAUGAAGUCGGAAUCGCUAGUAAUCGUGGAUCAGAAUGCCACGGUGAAUACGUUCCCGGGCCUUGUACACACCGCCCGUCACACCAUGGGAGUGGGUUGCAAAAGAAGUAGGUAGCUUAACCUUCGGGAGGGCGCUUACCACUUUGUGAUUCAUGACUGGGGUGAAGUCGUAACAAGGUAACCGUAGGGGAACCUGCGGUUGGAUCACCUCCUUACCUUAAAGAAGC
This 847-nucleotide ribosomal RNA is filed under the name Escherichia coli. Its description in RNAcentral is "bacterial SSU rRNA". It matches the Rfam family "Bacterial small subunit ribosomal RNA", at positions 698 to 1533 of the family's 1533-position model. Lineage: Bacteria; Pseudomonadati; Pseudomonadota; Gammaproteobacteria; Enterobacterales; Enterobacteriaceae. The record is from RNAcentral.